Cottoperca gobio is the source of this 1833-nucleotide long non-coding RNA. NCBI's taxonomy places the organism in Eukaryota, Metazoa, Chordata, Actinopteri, Perciformes, Bovichtidae. The record is from Ensembl.
UAUUUCUCCAGCUACCGAUGCUAGCUGGCUAGUUUAGCUAGUACUGCUGAUUGAAGGAUUAGCUGCAAAAGAAACUACAAGAAGAGAGCACUUUACUCUCCGCCCAGCUCACAAUCCAAAGAGCAUCUUUCCAGAUUUGUUCCCUGUUCCUUUGACUCUGACACUAUGCAGCUGAAUCACCUCCUCCGGACUCUUUGCCUUAUAGGCUCAGUAAUCCUGUGUGUAGCCGUUACCACCGCUGCACCACAAACCACCGUUGCACCACCCACUGCUGCACCACAAACCACCGUUGCACCACCCACUGCUGCACCACAAACCACCGUUGCACCACCCACCGCUGCACCACAAACCACCGUUGCACCACCCACCGCUGCACCACAAACCACCGUUGCACCACCCACCGCUGCACCACAAACCACCGUUGCACCACCCACCGCUGCACCACAAACCACCGUUGCACCACCCACCGCUGCACCACAAACCACCGUUGCACCACCCACUGCUGCACCACAAACCACCGUUGCACCACCCACCGCUGCACCACAAACCACCGUUGCACCACAAACCACCGCUGACGGUGGACCAACCACCGCUGCCGGUGAACCAACCACCGUGGUGGUCGAAGGAGGAGAAGAGCUUUCAUCUGGCGCUAUAGCCGGUAUUACCAUCGGCUCCAUCGCUGGGGUGGCUGCUGUUGGUGGUGGUAUUUUUGGCUUGCUGAAGUUCACCGGGAGGGUCUGAGACCAGUUACUGCCAAACGUGGAUGGUUAUGGAUUGUAAACUAAAAACAUUUUCCAUCUGAAAAUCAAGCAGAUUAAAUCUUGACCUUUUAACCGGACUAUGAAAACAUACUUGAUGUCUGAGAGGCUCAUAUCAGAUACUGACAUGGGCCAAGAGGAAGACAGAAAAGUACAUUUCUCUACUUUUCUAUUUUUGAUUGUCAGGAAAUAAUCUCGAGCUGAUCCAAAAACUUUAAAUUUUGAUAGAUGUACAUUAUAUUGUUCCUGUUUUUGCAGAUAACAGAAACAUAAUAUAUCUAACUGUGGUGUUUUGGAUUUAAAUAUGUAGGGUAGCUUACAAUAAUGAGCCAGAUAUGUUUAAUAACUUUUUUACUAGGGUAGUCUAUGUGUGCGAAGAACAUGCAGAGUUUUCAGAGAAACAUAAGUUCAGAUCAUAUCAGACCUCAGCGCAAUCAUUUGGUUGAUUAUUGACGUUAUUUUAUCAUUAACUGGACUUUUGAACUGCAAGGCUGUAUUUACUUAGAUAAACUGCUUUGAAAUGACUUAACAACUGUCCCAUCUUCCUCUUAAUAAACUUUUUUCUAAUAUAGCAAUGACUCAAGCAGUCUGUCUAAAGUAUUAUUAUUUAAGUAUACCUCCUUGUUAACUUGAGCUGUUUGUUCAUUUUAUGAGUUAUGAGGGUACAUAAUGAUUAACGCCUGGCUUCUUCUGCGGGUUGCUUUCUACACGUUUAUUGCAUUCUCCAGGGAGUUCUUGAGACCUCAGACAAAACAGUAAAUGGAUUGGCUCUCCGUUUAUAGCAUUGAGGUUUUGAUCAAAAUGCAAAAAAAAGAGAGUACAAAUGCUUGCUAAUAACCAGGAAACAGACUGUUAAGAAGGAAUGGAUUGCCACAGACACACUGACAAUGUCUCAAAAUGUGUUUGCAAAUAAAUGUUACCCUAACCAAACUCCAUUCAGAAAACAAGCGUUUUAAAAGUUGUUUGCUCGUCGUCUUGUGGACAGACCGAAUAAAGCAUGAAUUCAGAUCAAAAUCGGUAUCAUGUAAUUAUUUUGGCAUCCUUUUGAUUAUUUCAAUUACAUCUCAACAAAAUC